UAAAGGCGGCUAUGUUAACACUGAUGUAUCCAGGAUUAAUUCUAAUAGACCAUGGUCAUUUCCAGUAUCCUUUAUUACAGCAUAUGAUAAAAACAUGAAUGUACCCUUCUUUGUAUUUCAGGUUUAUUUAAUGAGUAGGUUUCUGACAUGCUAGCUCAUUAGAAAACAAUUCACAUACAGACACAUCACUUAAGCUUGUCCUUCUUCUGCAAGAAUAAUCUUGGUGGAAUGGAACAAACAUUUGGAAAUCAAGUGUUUUCUUAUGUCUUGCUUGUAGUACUCAAUAUCCGCAGUAACCACAACCCUGCCUUCCAAUUUGAAUUUUGGGGUAAAAUAUUGUGGAUUAUACAUGAAAACAGUAUAUAGAGUUCACACAGAUUGUUUAUUGAAUGAACAUCCACAUAAAGUUUGACAUGAAAAGAUUCAAAUAUUCAUUUUUGCAGAUCAUCAAAUCUAAAUUAGUGUACUACCAUUAUGGAAUGAAAAGUAUAGCUAAAUAUUAUAAAACAAGAUCCUUAACUGUAAAACAGAUACAAUUGCAUAAGUUUAGGCUUAAUCUUAUUUGGAGUUCUGUUUUUGAGCCAAGGUCGUGACAUCCUAGGAUCUAUAGCAUUUUGUUUGGCCUUGAACUAUAAACAGAUGGAACUUUACCAUGCUCUCCCAUUCUUUUGUUUUUUACUUGGAAUUUGUUUCCGAAGUCAGAAUCAAAAUGG
This 713-nucleotide long non-coding RNA is filed under the name Mytilus galloprovincialis (Mediterranean mussel). The record is from RNAcentral. Lineage: Eukaryota; Metazoa; Mollusca; Bivalvia; Mytilida; Mytilidae.